CAACUUUUAACAACGGAUCUCUAGGCUCUCGCAUCGAUGAAGAACGUAGCAAAUUGCGAUAACUAUUGUGAAUUGCAUCUCGUGAAUCAUCAAGUUUUUGAACGCAUCUUGCACUCUUUGGUAUUCCAAAGAGUACACUUGUUUCA
RNAcentral lists this ribosomal RNA (146 nucleotides) under Pilobolus sp. KH23. Its description in RNAcentral is "5.8S ribosomal RNA". It matches the Rfam family "5.8S ribosomal RNA". Rfam says of the family: 5.8S ribosomal RNA (5.8S rRNA) is a component of the large subunit of the eukaryotic ribosome. It is transcribed by RNA polymerase I as part of the 45S precursor that also contains 18S and 28S rRNA. Lineage: Eukaryota; Fungi; Mucoromycota; Mucoromycetes; Mucorales; Pilobolaceae. The record is from RNAcentral.